Molecule: ribosomal RNA, 481 nt
Filed under: uncultured bacterium
Lineage: Bacteria
Description: partial 16S ribosomal RNA
Rfam family: Bacterial small subunit ribosomal RNA
Source: RNAcentral
GACGAACGCUGGCGGCGUGCUUAACACAUGCAAGUCGAGCGGAAAGGCCACUUCGGUGGUACUCGAGCGGCGAACGGGUGAGUAACACGUGAGUAAUCUGCCCCUGGCUUUGGGAUAGCCACCGGAAACGGUGAUUAAUACCGGAUACGACCACUUCUCGCAUGGGAUGGUGGUGGAAAGUUUUUUCGGCCAGGGAUGCGCUCGCGGCCUAUCAGCUUGAUGGUGAGGUAAUGGCUCACCAUGGCUUCGACGGGUAGCCGGCCUGAGAGGGUGACCGGUCACAGUGGGACUGAGACACGGCCCAGACUCCUACGGGAGGCAGCAGUGGGGAGUAUUGGACAAUGGGCGGAAGCCUGAUCCAGCAACGCCGCGUGAGGGAUGACGGCCUUCGGGUUGUAAACCUCUUUCAGCAGGGACGAAGCGCAAGUGACGGUACCUGCAGAAGAAGCACCGGCCAACUACGUGCCAGCCGCCGCAGUAA